UCCUACGGGAGGCAGCAGUAGGGAAUCUUGCACAAUGAGGGAAACCUUGAUGCAGCGACGCCGCGUGCGGGACGAAGGCCCUAGGGUUGUAAACCGCUUUCAGUAGGGACGAAAGUGACGGUACCUACAGAAGAAGCCCCGGCCAACUAUGUGCCAGCAGCCGCGGUGAUACAUAGGGGGCAAGCGUUGUCCGGAUUUACUGGGCGUAAAGAGCUCGUAGGCGGUUUGCCAAGUCAGAAGUGAAAUCUCCAUGCUCAACAUGGAGCGGCCUUUUGAAACUGGUAUGACUUGAGUACGGUAGAGGAGUGUGGAAUUCCCGGUGUAGCGGUGAAAUGCGCAGAUAUCGGGAGGAACACCUAUGGCGAAGGCAGCACUCUGGGCCGAAACUGACGCUGAGGAGCGAAAGCGUGGGGAGCGAACAGGAUUAGAUACCCUGGUAGUCCACGCCGUAAACGUUGGACACUAGGUGUGGGAUGCGAUCAACGCAUUCCGUGCCGAAGUUAACGCAUUAA
RNAcentral lists this ribosomal RNA (512 nucleotides) under uncultured bacterium. RNAcentral describes it as "bacterial SSU rRNA". It matches the Rfam family "Bacterial small subunit ribosomal RNA", at positions 337 to 863 of the family's 1533-position model. The record is from RNAcentral.